Molecule: ribosomal RNA, 469 nt
Filed under: Toyoides albipennis
Lineage: Eukaryota; Metazoa; Arthropoda; Insecta; Hemiptera; Delphacidae
Description: partial 16S ribosomal RNA
Rfam family: Bacterial large subunit ribosomal RNA (bases 343-469)
Source: RNAcentral
AUUUAAUAGCUGCAGUAUAUUAACUGUACAAAGGUAGCAUAGUAAAUAGUCUUUUAAUUGAGGUCUGGAAUGAAUGGUUUAACAAGAAAAAUACUUUAUUGAUUUAAUUUAAUUAAUUUUAUUUUUUAGUUAAAAAGCUAAAAUACUUAAUUGGGACGAUAAGACCCUAUAGAUCUUAAAAUUUUUUAAGAUUAAAUUUAUUUUGGUUUAUUUAAUUUUUUGUUUAAAAAAUUUUUUAUUGGGGUGAUAGUUAAAUUUAUAAAACUUUAAUUUUUUAAAUCAUUAAAUUUAUGAUUUUAAUUUGAUCCUGAAGUUUGGAUUGUAAAAUCAAGAUACCUUAGGGAUAACAGCGUAAUAAAUUUGGAUAGUUCAUAUAGAUAAAUUUGAUUACGACCUCGAUGUUGAAUUAAUUUAAAUUCUUGAAGCAGAAAAUGAGAUUUUAGGUCUGUUCGACCUUUAAAAAAUUACA